This 503-nucleotide ribosomal RNA is filed under the name uncultured bacterium. RNAcentral's name for it is "partial 16S ribosomal RNA". It matches the Rfam family "Bacterial small subunit ribosomal RNA", at positions 29 to 523 of the family's 1533-position model. The record is from RNAcentral.
AUUGAACGCUGGCGGCAUGCCUUACACAUGCAAGUCGAACGGCAGCACGGGAGCUUGCUCCUGGUGGCGAGUGGCGAACGGGUGAGUAAUACAUCGGAACGUACCCAGUAGUGGGGGAUAACGCACCGAAAGGUGCGCUAAUACCGCAUACGACCUACGGGUGAAAGCGGGGGACCGUAAGGCCUCGCGCUAUUGGAGCGGCCGAGGUCUGAUGAGCUAGUUGGGGGGGUAAAAGCCCACCAAGGCGACGAUCAGUAGCUGGUCUGAGAGGACGAUCAGCCACACUGGGACUGAAACACGGCCCAGACUCCUACGGGAGGCAGCAGUGGGGAAUUUUGGACAAUGGGGGCAACCCUGAUCCAGCAAUGCCGCGUGUGCGAAGAAGGCCUUCGGGUUGUAAAGCACUUUUGUCAGGGAAGAAAUCUUUCAGGCUAAUACCCUUGGAAGGAUGACGGUACCUGAAGAAUAAGCACCGGCUAACUACGUGCCAGCCGCCGCCGUAA